GAUGAACGCUGGCGGCGUGCCUAAUACAUGCAAGUCGAGCGAACAGACGAGGAGCUUGCUCCUCUGACGUUAGCGGCGGACGGGUGAGUAACACGUGGAUAACCUACCUAUAAGACUGGGAUAACUUCGGGAAACCGGAGCUAAUACCGGAUAAUAUAUUGAACCGCAUGGUUCAAUAGUGAAAGACGGUUUUGCUGUCACUUAUAGAUGGAUCCGCGCCGCAUUAGCUAGUUGGUAAGGUAACGGCUUACCAAGGCAACGAUGCGUAGCCGACCUGAGAGGGUGAUCGGCCACACUGGAACUGAGACACGGUCCAGACUCCUACGGGAGGCAGCAGUAGGGAAUCUUCCGCAAUGGGCGAAAGCCUGACGGAGCAACGCCGCGUGAGUGAUGAAGGUCUUCGGAUCGUAAAACUCUGUUAUUAGGGAAGAACAAAUGUGUAAGUAACUAUGCACGUCUUGACGGUACCUAAUCAGAAAGCCACGGCUAACUACGG
This 496-nucleotide ribosomal RNA is filed under the name uncultured bacterium. RNAcentral describes it as "partial 16S ribosomal RNA". It matches the Rfam family "Bacterial small subunit ribosomal RNA", at positions 28 to 506 of the family's 1533-position model. The record is from RNAcentral.